GAUGGCAUCACCAAUUCAAUGGAUAUGAGUUUGAGCUAACUCCAGGAGAUGGUGAAGGACAGGGAAGCCUGGUGUGCUUUAGUCCAUGGGGUCACAAAGAGUUGGACACAACUGAGCAACUGUUCAACAACCCUAGGGGCUCAGUGCCAAGCACUGAGCUCAGGACAAGCCCCUCCAUCAAUAGAAGCAGAUGAUGGAGGUGACCGUCAUCCAUAGAGGCUGCCAUGAGCUUGGCCACUUCCCAUGUGAUCACUUGGUAAUCUUCACCACAGUCUUAUGAAACAGGCAUCGGAUUCCUGCCUGAGGAAUCAGAUGUGUAAGCAACCUUCCCCUGGGGGUGGGAGAAUCAGGCUUCACGCCCAGAUUCCAAGGCUGGCCUGCCUGCCUCUCCAGACCCUGAGGCUUUCUCAGAGAAACCAAGACCUGGGCAGAUGACCAAGGCAAGGACUCAGCCUCGGGGAAGGGGUGGUGGUAGUUCGGGAUGGAUUCCUGAAACUGGAGGAUAAACUUGAAGGAACGAGGCAAGAAGCCAGUUUACAGACCUAGGGGUCAAGAAGCGCAUUGCUAGCUGGACGGUUGGGCUGGGAGGUCUGGGCCCUGGAGUCCACCUGUCACUUAGACACAGUCCUGAGCAAACCCAGCCCCUGUUACUUGUGGGGUCUGGAAUGUGGCAGUCCUCCGGCCUUCUCACCGGAUGUUGCAUGCUGAGUCAACUGCCGUUUCAGCUCACUUUAGCAGACAACAGCUGGUCACCCAGCUGGGUGUUCACCUGAGGUCACGGUUCACAGAGUUACAAACAGUAGGGGCGGGGGAAGGGGGGAGGGUUGAGGGAGGGGAGUAGACUGCCUGGCUCUUGAUCCUGCCUCCCUCACUUAGCACAGCGUCAGCUUGGGCAUGGCUACCCACUCCAGUAUUCUUGCCUGGAGAAUUCCAUGGACAGAGGAGACUGGUGGGCUACAGUCCAUAGGGUCACAAAGAGUCGGACACGACUGAAGUGACUUAGCAGUCGUGACCCAUAGCUUGGGCAGGUCAGUAAGCCUCUGCGGGCCUUAGUUUCCCUAUCUUUACAAUGGGCUAUUUGAUGAAGUGGGUCAGUCCACACAAACACGGGAGAGCAAUGCCUGGCACACAGUAGGUGCUCAGAAAGGGGUGGUCAUCCUUGAUUUCUGCACACGGUGGCCACAGCAGAGGGAGUGCUCCCCUGAAAGGACCUCUCCGGGACUUUAUCCAGGCUGGGGACACACUACCUUCUGAGUCAGGCUGUUCCAUUUUUGGACAACUCUGACUAAGAAAAUUCUUCCUUGCUUCCAGCCAAGUCCACCUCCCCACAACUCCCACACACUGGCCCCAGCUCUGCCAGAAGGCAAAUGUCAGAAAAAUAUUCUUGAAAGAGAGGACAUAGAAUGCCACAGCGCAUUGCUAACUGCUGUGAAACCAAGCAACAAGUCACUCCUCAGGAACAAAGGUGACGGCCACCAGGCCGCGGAGCCUUGACCUCAUCUCAUUUCCUACGUGCCGUCCACCCCGUAAUCAUUGUACCUCCAGGGAGCAUGCCCGCCAAGCAGCGCGUGCUGUCGGCCUCCUGUUUACAGAGCUUUUCUGGCGUCAGGUCAGACCUUCACCCCUUGACGUUGGGUGGGUAAACAAAACACUUAGAGUCCCCAGGCCCCAUCCUGACCUGCCCUCACCCCACCUCUGGGACCAGCUUCUGGAGUGGACGCCUCCCCACAGGUGGGCUCUGAGCACAGCCAUCUCCUGCUUCUCCAGCUACUUCUUGCCUGUCUUUAACCUGGCUGCCUUUCCCCUCCCUCCUCCCUGCACUUGGACACGUCCAAAGGUUCUGGCCUUGGACCUCCCUCCCCCUCCCUCCUAGGUCAUGACCACUCCUAGUUUACUGAGGGCACGAACUCCUGCCUGAAUCAACAAGGGGCACUGACUCAGCGCGUGGGCAUCCAUCCGGGCACUGGAGCCUCUCUCUACCCCGAAGCCUUGACUCUACCACCUCCAUGCACCCGCCCCACCCCCCCACAGCUCUGAGGACCCCUGCUAUUCACUGAACCUCCUCCCUGGGCCCUCCUACUCCUGGUCCCAAUCACAGGAAGUCCUCACGAGACACAGAGCCUGGUGCCUCAUCAGCUGAGACCUGCUGCUGCUGCUAAGUCGCUGCUGCUAAGUGUCCGACUCUGUGCGACCCCUGAGACGGCAUCCCACCAGGCUCCCCUGUCCCUGGGAUUCUCCAGGCAAGAACACUGGAGUGGGUUGCCG
Long non-coding RNA from Bubalus bubalis (water buffalo), 2265 nucleotides. RefSeq lists it as uncharacterized. The transcript is spliced from 3 exons. The record is from RefSeq and is a predicted model, not a curated record. NCBI's taxonomy places the organism in Eukaryota, Metazoa, Chordata, Mammalia, Artiodactyla, Bovidae.